AUGCACAACGGAUCGAGCUCGCAAGUGUUCAUCAUGCCCGCUGCCGGCCAUGUCCACUACCUUGUCGCGGGAGGCUCCGGAGGAGGCGACGAGCCCAGGUACCCCUGGACCUUCAAGUCCCUGCACGAGGUGGACGCCGUCGUCCCUGCUAUCGCCCGUGGCAGCAAGAGGCCGGCCGCCGUCCCCGGUGGAGCACAGGUAGAGCCCUACGGGUGCCCCAUCUGCUUCCGCGUGUUUGCCACUGCCAAGGCCGUCCAUGGCCACAUGCGCAGCCACACGGACCGCACCUGGCGCGGCAUGGAGCCGCCCCGGCCGCCGCCCCUGGGCGAGAUCCGUUACCCGUACGUGUGCGACCGCUGCAAGAUGCCGUUCCAGACGCGGCAGGCGCUCGGCGGCCACCGCGCCAGCCACAAUGGUAAGAAAGGCUGCUCCUGGCUCGAAAGAGAGGAGCUCGCCGCCGCCGAAGAAGCUCGGAAGCCCGUCGUGUUCAGCGUUGAUCUGAACCUUCCGGCUCCCGAGGCAGAUCAGGAACAGGGGGAGGAGUAG
This 546-nucleotide ribosomal RNA is filed under the name Triticum aestivum (bread wheat). RNAcentral's name for it is "partial small subunit ribosomal RNA". The record is from RNAcentral. Lineage: Eukaryota; Viridiplantae; Streptophyta; Magnoliopsida; Poales; Poaceae.